GGCGUAAAGCGCAUGCAGGUGGUUUGUUAAGUCAGAUGUGAAAUCCCCGGGCUCAACCUGGGAACUGCAUCUG
RNAcentral lists this ribosomal RNA (73 nucleotides) under uncultured bacterium. Its description in RNAcentral is "partial 16S ribosomal RNA". The record is from RNAcentral.